This 468-nucleotide ribosomal RNA is filed under the name uncultured bacterium. Its description in RNAcentral is "partial 16S ribosomal RNA". It matches the Rfam family "Bacterial small subunit ribosomal RNA", at positions 28 to 507 of the family's 1533-position model. The record is from RNAcentral.
GACGAACGCUGGCGGCGUGCUUAACACAUGCAAGUCGAACGGAAAGGCCCUGCUUUUGUGGGGUGCUCGAGUGGCGAACGGGUGAGUAACACGUGAGUAACCUGCCCUUGACUUUGGGAUAACUUCAGGAAACUGGGGCUAAUACCGGAUAGGAGCUCCUGCUGCAUGGUGGGGGUUGGAAAGUUUCGGCGGUUGGGGAUGGACUCGCGGCUUAUCAGCUUGUUGGUGGGGUAGUGGCUUACCAAGGCUUUGACGGGUAGCCGGCCUGAGAGGGUGACCGGCCACAUUGGGACUGAGAUACGGCCCAGACUCCAACGGGAGGCAGCAGUGGGGAAUAUUGCACAAUGGGCGGAAGCCUGAUGCAGCAACGCCGCGUGCGGGAUGACGGCCUUCGGGUUGUAAACCGCUUUCGCCUGUGAUGAAGCGUGAGUGACGGUAAUGGGUAAAGAAGCACCGGCUAACUACGUG